AUUAGGCUUAGCUAUCAUUUAGCUAAUUUCCCCAAUUUUAAGCUCAUCAAGUCAUCAGCGUCUUCAGCUUCCCGUUAAACUUGAGGAUGGCUUCAAUUUCUUCCCGCUGGCGGGGGCUCUGCAAAUCUCGUCGGAACUUCAUUUCCAAAACGCAUUUGAAUUCUUCUCUCAUUCCUUCAGAGAAAUUCUUCGCUAUUGCCGAUCAAGGGACGGAGUUGUUAAAUCUGGCGUCCGAUAUAGGGAAGCGACUUUUCGUCCCAAGAAGCAGAAGAUCUGCUCCGAUUGUUCCGAUUAUCCGGCUUGGUCGGAAAUUCAAUUAAAGAAUGGAAGUCAUCAAUUCCUUUAGAUUCCUUGGCUACUUCAUGAAUGUUGUCCUACUAUACGGUUCUAGAGAUCACAUGGAGCGCCCCAAAUUACUCACGGGUUGCUUUAACUUCUUCCGGUUCUCCAUCAUCACUAUAUUUUAUAUUAUGAUUAACCUACUUGCCCCCUGCUCCCCGUAAGCUUUACACAUUCUUGGUGACAACAAUGGAUACGCUUGUUUUGCUGCCUAGUUUUAUCGAAGUUCUUGAUGAAGCUAAGAGUCUCUCUAGUUCUCCUGCCAAUCUUGUGAUCAUUUUUUUAGUUCUUGGUAAGAAGCUCAGCUGGUUUGUAGUUUACGUUUCUAUAAAAUUGAACUUACCCUUUGAUUUUCCAAUACUUUUAUGUGUUUGCACUUUGAUCCAGUUCUUAAUCUAGCCUUUGCACUCAAGUCUUUUUUGGUUCGUAGUUAUGCAUGCAUCUCCCCUGAUGAGCAAUCCAGCAUCAAUUGAGGUGGUCGAUCAUUAUCCAAGGAUGAGACUAAAGAAGAAGUUCUGUCCAUGGAAGUGCAGAAACAGGAGAUGGAAAUAGAGAUCAAAAUGAAGAUGGGAGCGAUCAUCAAAACAAGGCUAAAAGGUACCAUCCAUUGUUGCUUCUGUGAUCUAUGAAACCGAACCGCCCACCAACCCAUCACGAACCCCCCUGAUACACUUACCAAAACUAAAACUAGACAUGUCCACACAUCCUUGAGAUCUCUGUUCUUCUGCCUCUUCUGCUCUCUCUCCCCCUUCAUCCCAGCUUCAGUGUCUGCUCCCACCUGCAAUUCUCUCGUGUGUGACAUAGAAUAGGAGGAAAAACUCACAAAUGAUCCAUUAGAAGAAGAAGAAGAAGAAGAUAGAUCGGAGAGAAAACCCAAUUAGCUUAGGAAAAAGACGUGCAGUUCUUGAAGAUAUUAGAGAGAAAUAGAAUAAGAAAGUCGCAUUGAGUAUAACGUCACGCGUGGCUUCCCAAAGUUGGUUUUGUCAAUUUGAAGGAAUGUAAAUAUAAAUAAAAGAAGGAUUGGCAUUCAUUGGCUGGGAUCGAUAAUUGCGUAGCUUCUAUCUGGGGUAGAGUUUGAUUGAUUUAUUGCCUUAGAUGACAUUUAGUGCCGCGACACCCACCUGGCCACAAUUCCUUUGUUUCUUCAUUUUCAUAACCUCUUUCAUUAUUGUUUCUUUCUUCUCUCCUCCCUUCUCAUGCAAACCCAACUACAGCUUCUAUUCAGAACAUUAAUCUUUAAGUAUAGUCAUAAAUGAGCCUUUACAUAAGACUAGUCUUAUGAAAAAUAAUGAAA
Cucurbita maxima (winter squash) is the source of this 1633-nucleotide long non-coding RNA. RefSeq lists it as uncharacterized. NCBI's taxonomy places the organism in Eukaryota, Viridiplantae, Streptophyta, Magnoliopsida, Cucurbitales, Cucurbitaceae. The record is from RefSeq and is a predicted model, not a curated record. The transcript is spliced from 4 exons.